RNAcentral lists this ribosomal RNA (274 nucleotides) under uncultured bacterium. RNAcentral describes it as "partial 16S ribosomal RNA". It matches the Rfam family "Bacterial small subunit ribosomal RNA", at positions 523 to 796 of the family's 1533-position model. The record is from RNAcentral.
CUACGGAGGGCGCGAACGUUGCUCGGAAUCAUUGGGCGUAAAGCGCACGUAGGCGGCCUGAUAAGUCGGAUGUGAAAGCCCACGGCUCAACCGUGGAAGUGCAUUCGAAACUGUCAGGCUUGAGUAUGGGAGAGGGUUGCGGAAUUCCCGGUGUAGAGGUGAAAUUCGUAGAUAUCGGGAGGAACACCAGCGGCGAAGGCGGCAGCCCGGACCAAUACUGACGCUGAGGUGCGAAAGCGUGGGGAGCAAACAGGAUUAGAAACCCUAGUAGUCC